Molecule: long non-coding RNA, 890 nt
Organism: Lolium rigidum
Lineage: Eukaryota; Viridiplantae; Streptophyta; Magnoliopsida; Poales; Poaceae
Exons: 3
Source: RefSeq, a predicted model, not a curated record
UGCCAUUCUGCAACUCAUAUUGGUACCCUCAUCUCUGAAGAACUCUAAGCUCCCCUGGAAUUGAGAAUCUUCUUAGUGCAUGGUAAAUGUCAACGUUUUAUAGCAUUACUUGGUAUUUAGGGAAACUACAUGCUAAAUUUGAUUAACAUGUAAACUGCAGAAGGGGUUUAUUUAUUUAUUUAUAAGUAAAUAAUGACUUCCUUAUUGUUCUAACGCACAUAUCAUUCUACAUCAUUAAGCAACAAUUUGAUGAAAGCCUCCUUUGCACGGGAUGGGUCUCGAGGGAUUUGUGAGUGUUCCCAUACCUUAGUGAUUUGUGAAACAUCAAUAACUCAGUGUUUGAUGGAUAUAUCAUAUGCAAGGGGGGCAGCAGCCUCUGCCUCCCCAUGACAUCUCAUCAGUUCAGGUGAAUUAAUCCUGUAAAAAGCAACUGGCGAAAAUAUAGAGCUGGCCAGUCUAAAGCUUCUGUACCAAUUGACGUUGAAGUUUGUGCCCACAGGUCAAGGAAAUUUUGAAGAGGUGGCAUAUAGCGUUGAUGGUUCUGAUGAUACAGUUAGCAAAGGUGUGACUAUCAGAGAUGAUAGUGGAUGUGUUAUAGAUCCUGCUUCAAGGUAGACACCCCUUGCUUUUGAUGCCUUGCAAACUGAAGCUAUUGCAGAUGAAUGUGCCGUGUACUUGACAAAUGCUCUUAUCAUUUACACAUUCAAACUGGCUGGUCUGCCCGCUCAAGGUCUGAAAAUUGGUGCAAGUGUAGUCAUCCUUAGCACUUCAGUUCUUUGUAAAUUUUCAUAUAAUAGCAUGGCAGAGCUUAGAUACAAUAAAGAUCAUUGUAUCUGACCAACUGCUAUCUGACCACCUGCUUUUUCUGCUCAAUAUUAUUUUUCUUCACA